RNAcentral lists this non-coding RNA (31 nucleotides) under Rattus norvegicus (Norway rat). Lineage: Eukaryota; Metazoa; Chordata; Mammalia; Rodentia; Muridae. The record is from RNAcentral.
UGCGGGUACUGGUAUCUCUGAGAGGUCCAGU